GUGCCAGACUCCUACGGGAGGCAGCAGUGGGGAAUAUUGCACAAUGGGGGAAACCCUGAUGCAGCAACGCCGCGUGAGUGAAGAAGUAUUUCGGUCUGUAAAGCUCUAUCAGCAGGGAAGAAGAUGACGGUACCUGAGUAAGAAGCCCCGGCUAACUACGUGCCAGCAGCCGCGGUAAUACGUAGGGGGCAAGCGUUAUCCGGAUUUACUGGGUGUAAAGGGAGCGCAGACGGUGAGACAAGUCUGAAGUGAAAGCCCGGGGCUCAACCCCGGGACUGCUUUGGAAACUGCCUGACUGGAGUGCUGGAGAGGCAAGCGGAAUUCCUAGUGUAGCGGUGAAAUGCGUAGAUAUUAGGAGGAACACCAGUGGCGAAGGCGGCUUACUGGACUGUAAAUGACGCUGAGGCUCGAAAGCGUGGGGAGCAAACAGGAUUAGAUACCCUAGUAC
RNAcentral lists this ribosomal RNA (448 nucleotides) under uncultured bacterium. RNAcentral's name for it is "bacterial SSU rRNA". It matches the Rfam family "Bacterial small subunit ribosomal RNA", at positions 328 to 793 of the family's 1533-position model. The record is from RNAcentral.